GAUGAACGCUGGCGGCGUGCCUAAUACAUGCAAGUCGAGCGAACGGACGAGAAGCUUGCUUCUCUGAUGUUAGCGGCGGACGGGUGAGUAACACGUGGAUAACCUACUUAUAAUACUGGGAUAACUUCGGGAAACCGUAGCUAAUACCGGAUAAUAUUUUGAACCGCAUGGUUCAAAAGUGAAAGACGGUCUUGCUGUCACUUAUAGAUGGAUCCGCGCUGCAUUAGCUAGUUGGUAAGGUAACGGCUUACCAAGGCAACGAUGCAUAGCCGACCUGAGAGGGUGAUCGGCCACACUGGAACUGAGACACGGUCCAGACUCCUACGGGAGGCAGCAGUAGGGAAUCUUCCGCAAUGGGCGAAAGCCUGACGCAGCAACGCCGCGUGAGUGAUGAAGGUCUUCGGAUCGUAAAGCUCUGUUAUUAGGGAAGAACAUAUGUGUAAGUAACUGUGCACAUCUUGACGGUACCUAAUCAGAAAGCCACGGCUAACUACGUG
This 497-nucleotide ribosomal RNA is filed under the name uncultured bacterium. RNAcentral's name for it is "partial 16S ribosomal RNA". It matches the Rfam family "Bacterial small subunit ribosomal RNA", at positions 28 to 507 of the family's 1533-position model. The record is from RNAcentral.